UACGUAGGGGGCGAGCGUUGUCCGGAAUUACUGGGCGUAAAGGGUGCGUAGGCGGCGGCUUAAGUUGGAUGUGAAAUCCCCGGGCUUAACCUGGGUGGUGCAUUCAAAACUGGGCGGCUAGAGUACAGGAGAGGGAAGCGGAAUUCCUAGUGUAGCGGUGAAAUGCGUAGAUAUUAGGAGGAACACCAGUGGCGAAGGCGGCUUUCUGGACUGUAACUGACGCUGAGGCACGAAAGCGUGGGGAGCAAACAGG
This 253-nucleotide ribosomal RNA is filed under the name uncultured prokaryote. RNAcentral describes it as "partial 16S ribosomal RNA". It matches the Rfam family "Bacterial small subunit ribosomal RNA", at positions 524 to 776 of the family's 1533-position model. The record is from RNAcentral.